RNAcentral lists this ribosomal RNA (264 nucleotides) under uncultured archaeon. RNAcentral's name for it is "partial 16S ribosomal RNA". It matches the Rfam family "Archaeal small subunit ribosomal RNA", at positions 717 to 982 of the family's 1478-position model. The record is from RNAcentral.
AGACGUCUACAUUAGAUACCCGGGUAGUCCCAGCCGUAAACUAUGCGCGUUAGGUGUAUCGGUGACCACGAGUUACCGAGGUGCCGAAGGGAACCGUGAAACGUGCCGCCUGGGAAGUACGGUCGCAAGGCUGAAACUUAAAGGAAUUGGCGGGGGAGCACCACAACAGGUGGAGCCUGCGGUUUAAUUGGACUCAACGCCGGGAAGCUCACCGGAUAGGACAGCAGAAUGAUUGCCGGGCUGAAGACCCUGCAUGACUAGCUG